CGUCAAAAAAAAGUUAUUGGAGCCUUCCAAGUUCCAAUAGUACCCCUCACAAAUUCAAAUCAUCAUCGACUCUCACGAAUUCAAAUUGCAAUCCACAGCACUUUCCCUCCUUUCCCCCUUUCUCCAACUUCUCACUGCUCCUUCGUUCUCUCUCCUUACUGAAGCAUUAUCAAUGGCGCCCCAAAUCCCUAAACCUCCGCAAAAACCCCUAAAACGUCCGAAUAAACCCAAACCAAUUCCAAAUUCUACGAAGCAGCAGCAACCGCAAAACCCUAGCAUCAAGCGAAAUUGGUCAAUUGCCGAUUUUGAGAUCGGAAAACCCUUGGGGAAGGGAAAAUUCGGAAGGGUCUACCUUGCUCGCGAAGUCAAGAGUAAGUAUAUAGUGGCGUUGAAGGUGAUAUUUAAGGAGCAAAUUGAGAAGUAUAGACUACAUCACCAAUUGAGGAGAGAGAUGGAGAUUCAAAUGAGUUUACGCCACCCGAAUGUUCUAAGGCUUUAUGGAUGGUUUCAUGAUGAAGAAAGGAUUUUUUUGAUCCUUGAGUAUGCUUUUAGGGGUGAACUUUAUAAGGAACUUCAGAGAUCAGGUCAUCUUCCUGAGGAGCAAGCCGCCACGUACAUUGCGAGUCUAACGGAAGCAUUGGCCUAUUGUCAUGACAAGAAUGUCAUCCACAGGGACAUCAAACCCGAGAAUUUGUUGCUUGAUCAUGAGGGUCGUCUGAAGAUUGCAGAUUUUGGUUGGUCUGUACAAUCAAGAAACAAGAGGCACACCAUGUGUGGAACUCUUGACUAUCUGGCACCUGAAAUGGUGGAAAACAAGGCCCAUGAUUAUGCAGUUGACAACUGGACUUUGGGUGUGCUUUGUUAUGAAUUCUUGUAUGGGGUACCUCCAUUUGAGGCUGAGAGCCAACGCGAUACUUUCCGGAGGAUUAUGAAGGUUGAUUUGAACUUUCCGGAUACACCCCAAGUUUCGUCUGAAGCCAAGGAUCUUAUUACCCGACUUCUGGUAAAAGACACAUCAAAGAGGCUCUCUCUUCAGAAGAUAUUGGAGCACCCCUGGAUUCUAAAGAAUGCAGAUCCCACUGGCAUUUUCAAUAAAUAGUUCUUUCACCAAGCAAGUCAAUGGUUAUGUACACAGUGCUGUAUCAAGUUUCAAGAAUGUAUUAGUGAGCAGAGCCGUGUCAAAUGUGUAAUUGGAGAAAUUUUUAUGCGCUGCAAUAUAUAUGAAUGGUCAGAAUUCAGAAACAACGGGAGGGUGCCAUUGUGUAUUAUUUACUUUCCUGCCUAUCCUGUGAAUAUUAUGGUUAGCAAGGAAUGCUCUUUGCCUAAUUUGGGCAUGUUUGGGAUGAUAACAAGCUGAAGCUGGAGUUCAUCGAUUUGGAUCAUUGCACUUUCACUCAAAUUAGCCGAGUCUUAAUUUUGUUUUGAGCCCUUAUUUUCAAGCUCGGCCUAUCUAAAAAAUUAGUUCGAGUGUGAAAAUUGUUACAAAAUUUAUAUACUUCUAAAGAAUUCUGCAAUGUUUUUAU
Chenopodium quinoa (quinoa) is the source of this 1523-nucleotide RNA transcript. It is a transcript of the gene named serine/threonine-protein kinase Aurora-3-like, with no coding region annotated. The record is from RefSeq and is a predicted model, not a curated record. NCBI's taxonomy places the organism in Eukaryota, Viridiplantae, Streptophyta, Magnoliopsida, Caryophyllales, Amaranthaceae. The transcript has 7 exons.